This 77-nucleotide non-coding RNA is filed under the name unclassified sequences. The record is from RNAcentral.
CCCUGAUGGCGGGGGGAUACCUCAGCGUGGUAUCAGGGCCCAGUACCCACUCUGUGUGGAGAAGCCAAGCAGCCCCC